AAAAUCCGUCGACUUUAGAAAUCGUGAGGGUUCAAGUCUAUCCCCA
This 46-nucleotide transfer RNA is filed under the name Acacia rigens (nealie). RNAcentral's name for it is "partial tRNA-Leu". The record is from RNAcentral. Lineage: Eukaryota; Viridiplantae; Streptophyta; Magnoliopsida; Fabales; Fabaceae.